AUUGAACGCUGGCGGCAUGCCUUACACAUGCAAGUCGAACGGCAGCAUGGAGAGCUUGCUCUCUGAUGGCGAGUGGCGAACGGGUGAGUAAUGCAUCGGAACGUACCGUGUAAUGGGGGAUAACGUAGCGAAAGUUACGCUAAUACCGCAUACGACCUGAGGGUGAAAGCAGGGGAUCGCAAGACCUUGCGUUAUACGAGCGGCCGAUGUCAGAUUAGCUAGUUGGUGAGGUAAAGGCUCACCAAGGCGACGAUCUGUAGCGGGUCUGAGGGGAUGAUCCGCCACACUGGGACUGAGACACGGCCCAGACUCCUACGGGAGGCAGCAGUGGGGAAUUUUGGACAAUGGGGGCAACCCUGAUCCAGCCGUGCCGCGUGAGUGAAGAAGGCCUUCGGGUUGUAAAGCUCUUUCGGCCGGGAAGAAAUCGCACAGGCUAAUACUCUGUGUGGAUGACGGUACCGGCAUAAGAAGCACCGGCUAACUACGUGCCAGCCGCCGCGGUAA
Molecule: ribosomal RNA, 504 nt
Filed under: uncultured bacterium
Lineage: Bacteria
Description: partial 16S ribosomal RNA
Rfam family: Bacterial small subunit ribosomal RNA
Source: RNAcentral